Molecule: ribosomal RNA, 440 nt
Filed under: uncultured bacterium
Lineage: Bacteria
Description: partial 16S ribosomal RNA
Rfam family: Bacterial small subunit ribosomal RNA
Source: RNAcentral
CCUACGGGAGGCAGCCGUGGGGAAUAUUGCGCCAUGGGGGAAACCCUGAUGCAGCGACGCCGCGUGGGUGCAGGAGCGUUUCGGCGCGUACAGCCCUAUCGGCAGGGCAGAUGAUGACGGUACCUGACCAAGCCGCCCCGGCUAACUACGUGCCAGCAGCCGCGGUAAUACGUAGGGUGCAAGCUUUAUCCUGAUUUACUGGGUGUAAAGGGGGCGCAGGUGGCAGUGCAAGUCAGGUGUGAAAGCGCGGGGCGCAACCCCGGGACUGCACUUGAAAUUGCAUAGCUGGAGUACAGGAGGGGCAGGCGGAAUUCCGAGUGUAGCGGUGAAAUGCGUAGAUAGUAGGAGGAACACCGGUGGCGAAGGCGGCCUGCUGGACUGUGACUGACGCUGAGGCCCGAAGGCGUGGGGAGCAAACAGGAUUAGAUACCCGAGUAGUC